RNAcentral lists this ribosomal RNA (429 nucleotides) under Verrucomicrobiota bacterium. RNAcentral's name for it is "Verrucomicrobia bacterium partial 16S ribosomal RNA". It matches the Rfam family "Bacterial small subunit ribosomal RNA", at positions 355 to 776 of the family's 1533-position model. The record is from RNAcentral. Lineage: Bacteria; Pseudomonadati; Verrucomicrobiota.
UAGGGAAUCUUCCGCAAUGGACGAAAGUCUGACGGAGCAACGCCGCGUGAGUGAAGAAGGAUUUCGGUUCGUAAAACUCUGUUGUUAGGGAAGAAAAAAUGUAUAGUAACUAUAUACAAAAGAGACGGUACCUAACCAGAAAGCCACGGCUAACUACGUGCCAGCAGCCGCGGUAAUACGUAGGUGGCAAGCGUUGUCCGGAAUUAUUGGGCGUAAAGCGCGCGCAGGUGGUUUAGAAAGUCUGAUGUGAAAGCCCCCGGCUCAACCGUUGAGGGUCAUUGGAAACUAAUAAACUUGAGUGCAGGAGAGAAAAGUGGAAUUCCUAGUGUAGCGGUGAAAUGCGUAGAGAUUAGGAGGAACACCGGUGGCGAAAGCGGCUUUUUGGCCUGCAACUGACACUGUGGCGCGAAAGCGUGGGGAGCAAACAGG